GACGAACGCUGGCGGCGUGCUUAACACAUGCAAGUCGAACGGAAAGGCCCUGCUUUUGUGGGGUGCUCGAGUGGCGAACGGGUGAGUAACACGUGAGUAACCUGCCCUUGACUUUGGGAUAACUUCAGGAAACUGGGGCUAAUACCGGAUAGGAGCUCCUGCUGCAUGGUGGGGGUUGGAAAGUUUCGGCGGUUGGGGAUGGACUCGCGGCUUAUCAGCUUGUUGGUGGGGUAGUGGCUUACCAAGGCUUUGACGGGUAGCCGGCCUGAGAGGGUGACCGGCCACCUUGGGACUGAGGGACGGCCCAGACUCCUAAGGGAGGCAGCAGUGGGGAAUAUUGCACAAUGGGCGGAAGCCUGAUGCAGGAACGCCGCGUGCGGGAAGACGGCCUUCGGGUUGUAAACCGCUUUCGCCUGUGACGAAGCGUGAGUGACGGUAAUGGGUAAAGAAGCACCGGCUAACUACGUG
Molecule: ribosomal RNA, 468 nt
Filed under: uncultured bacterium
Lineage: Bacteria
Description: partial 16S ribosomal RNA
Rfam family: Bacterial small subunit ribosomal RNA
Source: RNAcentral